UGCCAAGUAUAAAUAUGCCCCAUGCAAUAUUUGGGAUAUACUUAUGCUAAAU
This 52-nucleotide microRNA precursor is filed under the name Chlorocebus sabaeus (green monkey). RNAcentral describes it as "mir-1302 microRNA precursor family". It matches the Rfam family "mir-1302 microRNA precursor family". Lineage: Eukaryota; Metazoa; Chordata; Mammalia; Primates; Cercopithecidae. The record is from Rfam by way of RNAcentral.